This 785-nucleotide long non-coding RNA is filed under the name Mytilus galloprovincialis (Mediterranean mussel). The record is from RNAcentral. Lineage: Eukaryota; Metazoa; Mollusca; Bivalvia; Mytilida; Mytilidae.
GAUAUAUUUAAUUCUUAGAAAUGUAAAUUGUCAACAAAAUUAUAAAUAUCAAUAAAAGAUUAUCGGUACACCUUAACAAUUAUGUUUCAUUAGAAAAUUAAAAAAUCAUUCCAUCUUAACCACAUCAAAGUUGUUUUACAUAACACUUAGUUGACUUGUUCUCACCCGUAUUUUUAAACUCGAUUUCACCAUCAAUUUUGUAUUCAUCAUAUAGUAAGGUAUGAAUGGUCUCAAAUCCAAACUUUUCAUAAAUUUUCUGGGAAUAAUUCGAAGUGCCUUCACCUUUUAUGCAAACUGGACUUAACCCUAGUUCUUUACAAAAUAGUAGAGUGGCUUUCAUUACUUUAGAAGCUAUUCCCUGUGCUAUGUGAUCUUUAUGGGUUGCAAGAGCAACAAAUGCCACUACUAUAUCUGCGUUAUAUCGUUUAAAAAAGUCCAUCUCAUUAUAUUUAUGCCCCAAAAAGUCCAUAAUUUAUACCAAUUACGAUUUUUCGAUUUUGACCAAUCUGCCUUUUCUCCUUUCCUGGCUAAACACAUUGACCUAGCGGCUAUUAUUUCUCCGGUUAUGUCUGAUAUCAGUAAAACAGACAGGUUUUCACGAAAAACUUCUGUGAAUAAUGCAGCAACUUCUUCAUCUAACUCUGCCCCUGAAGAUUUACAUAAAACUUCAUCGGGGUAAAAAUGUUCUUUAAGGAAAGUUACAAGACUGCCAUUUCGUUCCUUGGAGGAUAAUUCCAAAUGUGCAUCUUUGAAAUCAAAAGAGUCGUUUAUUCGUCGUAAAGCCU